CGGGGGGGGGGCAAGCGUUGUUCGGGAAUUACUGGGGCGUAAAGGGCGCGCAGGCGGCCCGGCCAGUCCUACGUGAAAUCCCACAGCUCAACUGUGGAACUGCGUGGGAUACUGCCAGGCUUGAGUCCCGGGAGAGGAGAGUGGAAUUCCCAGUGUAGCGGUGAAAUGCGUAGAUAUUGGGAGGAACACCGGUGGCGAAGGCGGCUCUCUGGACCGGCACUGACGCUGAGGCGCGAAAGCUAGGGGAGCAAACGGGAUUAGAUACCCCCGGUAGUCCUAGCCCUAAACGAUGAGCACUUUGUGUGGCGGGUAUCGACCCCUGCCGUGCAGAAGCUAACGCAUUAAGUGCUCCGCCUGGGGAGUACGGUCGCAAAGGCUG
This 379-nucleotide ribosomal RNA is filed under the name uncultured organism. RNAcentral's name for it is "partial 16S ribosomal RNA". It matches the Rfam family "Bacterial small subunit ribosomal RNA", at positions 524 to 896 of the family's 1533-position model. The record is from RNAcentral.